AAGACUAUAGACCUGCGGAGUACCUGCGGAGGGAUCAUUAACGAAUGAUCAUCCUUGAUCUUCUUACCUUCAAACCACUGUGGAAUGUAACAUGUGCUUCGGCGCCGAAUGGCGCCGUCUUUAUGCUUCAACAAUGCCUUUUGUGUCAGACAAAUCAAAAAAAUCAAAACUUUUAACAACGGAUCUCU
Molecule: unclassified non-coding RNA, 188 nt
Filed under: soil metagenome
Description: partial contains 5.8S ribosomal RNA, internal transcribed spacer 2, and large subunit ribosomal RNA
Source: RNAcentral